AAGCGGGGCAACCCGCAAGUAGAGUGGCGGACGGGUGAGUAACGCGUAGGAAUCUACCUGGUAGUGGGGGACAACCCGGUGAAAACCGGGCUAAUACCGCAUACGAUCCACGGAUGAAAGCAGGGGACCGCAAGGCCUUGCGCUAUCAGAUGAGCCUGCGUCGGAUUAGCUAGUUGGUGAGGUAACGGCUCACCAAGGCGACGAUCCGUAGCUGGUUUGAGAGAACGACCAGCCACACCGGAACUGAGACACGGUCCGGACUCUUACGGGAGGCAGCAGUGGGGAAUAUUGGACAAUGGGGGCAACCCUGAUCCAGCAAUGCCGCGUGUGUGAAGAAGGCCUUCGGG
RNAcentral lists this ribosomal RNA (347 nucleotides) under uncultured bacterium. RNAcentral's name for it is "bacterial SSU rRNA". It matches the Rfam family "Bacterial small subunit ribosomal RNA", at positions 72 to 422 of the family's 1533-position model. The record is from RNAcentral.